Molecule: ribosomal RNA, 425 nt
Filed under: uncultured bacterium
Lineage: Bacteria
Description: partial 16S ribosomal RNA
Rfam family: Bacterial small subunit ribosomal RNA
Source: RNAcentral
GUGGGGAAUCUUGCGCAAUGGGCGAAAGCCUGACGCAGCCAUGCCGCGUGAAUGAUGAAGGUCUUAGGAUUGUAAAAUUCUUUCACCGGGGACGAUAAUGACGGUACUCGGAGAAGAAGCUCCGGCUAACUUCGUGCCAGCAGCCGCGGUAAUACGAAGGGGGCUAGCGUUGCUCGGAAUUACUGGGCGUAAAGGGCGCGUAGGCGGACAGCUUAGUCAGAGGUGAAAGCCCAGGGCUCAACCUUGGAAUUGCCUUUGAUACUGGCUGUCUUGAGUUUGGGAGAGGUGAGUGGAACUCCGAGUGUAGAGGUGAAAUUCGUAGAUAUUCGGAAGAACACCAGUGGCGAAGGCGACUCACUGGCCCAAUACUGACGCUGAGGCGCGAAAGCGUGGGGAGCAAACAGGAUUAGAAACCCCAGUAGUCC